This 738-nucleotide ribosomal RNA is filed under the name uncultured bacterium. RNAcentral's name for it is "bacterial SSU rRNA". It matches the Rfam family "Bacterial small subunit ribosomal RNA", at positions 72 to 838 of the family's 1533-position model. The record is from RNAcentral.
CGAGCUUGCUCGUUAGUGGCGGACGGCUGAGUAACGCGUAGGUGACCUGCCCCGAAGUGGGGGAUAACUGCCCGAAAGGGUGGCUAAUACCGCAUGUGGCGACGCUUUCAUUGGCGUCAUCAAAGCCGCGAGGCGCUUCGGGAGGGGCCUGCGUCCGAUUAGCUCGUUGGUGGGGUAAUGGCUCACCAAGGCGACGAUCGGUAGGUGGUCUGAGAGGACGAUCACCCAGACUGGGACUGAGACACGGCCCAGACUCCUACGGGAGGCAGCAGUCGGGAAUUUUGCUCAAUGGGCGCAAGCCUGAAGCAGCAACGCCGCGUGAGGGAUGAAGGCCUUCGGGUUGUAAACCUCUUUUUCCAGGGACGAUAAUGACGGUACCUGAAGAAUAAGUCACGGCUAACUACGUGCCAGCAGCCGCGGUAAUACGUAGGUGACCAGCGUUGUCCGGAUUUACUGGGCGUAAAGAGCGCGCAGGCGGUCGUUCAAGUCGAGUGUGAAAGCCCCCGGCUCAACUGGGGAGGGUCACUCGAUACUGAUCGACUUGAAGGCAGGAGAGGGAAGCGGAAUUCCCGGUGUAGUGGUGAAAUGCGUAGAUAUCGGGAGGAACACCAGUGGCGAAGGCGGCUUCCUGGCCUGUUCUUGACGCUGAGGCGCGAAAGCUAGGGGAGCAAACGGGAUUAGAUACCCCGGUAGUCCUAGCCGUAAACGAUGGACACUAGGUGUUGGUGGUAUCAACCC